This 213-nucleotide long non-coding RNA is filed under the name Lathyrus oleraceus (garden pea). RNAcentral describes it as "Pisum sativum (pea) long non-coding RNA (PSAT_LNC030337)". Lineage: Eukaryota; Viridiplantae; Streptophyta; Magnoliopsida; Fabales; Fabaceae. The record is from RNAcentral.
ACUAUCCUAAAGAAUAAAGUAAAAGCUAGGGAGGAAAGAUCUAACCAAGAGAUAGCAAGAUUUAUGACAUAAGUCAAGCAAGAAUUCCCUCCUUUGGAUUAAACCUCAAGCAAGAAAAAUAAGCAAAUAAUAAUCCAUGUGUCAGAUGAAACCAAAGUAAUCAAGCCAAGUCUUCACAGAGAUGUCCAAAGUCAUAGGUAUUAGAUGAAUUCC